This 433-nucleotide ribosomal RNA is filed under the name uncultured bacterium. RNAcentral describes it as "partial 16S ribosomal RNA". It matches the Rfam family "Bacterial small subunit ribosomal RNA", at positions 29 to 507 of the family's 1533-position model. The record is from RNAcentral.
AACGAACGCUGGCGGCAUGCCUAACACAUGCAAGUCGAACGAGACCUUCGGGUCUAGUGGCGCACGGGUGCGUAACGCGUGGGAACCUGCCCUUAGGUUCGGAAUAACUCCCCGAAAGGGGUGCUAAUACCGGAUAAUGUCUUCGGACCAAAGAUUUAUCGCCUUUGGAUGGGCCCGCGUUGGAUUAGCUAGUUGGUAGGGUAAAAGCCUACCAAGGCGACGAUCCAUAGCUGGUCUGAGAGGAUGAUCAGCCACACUGGGACUGAGACACGGCCCAGACUCCUACGGGAGGCAGCAGUGGGGGAUAUUGGACAAUCGGCGAAAGCCUGAUCCAGCAAUGCCGCGUGAGUGAUGAAGGCCUUAGGGUUGUAAAGCUCUUUUACCCGGGAUGAUAAUGACAGUACCGGGAGAAUAAGCUCCGGCUAACUCCGUG